AGUGAACGCUGGCGGUAGGCCUAACACAUGCAAGUCGAACGAGUGGCGGACGUGUGAGGAAUACAUCGGAAUCUACUCUGUCGUGGGGGAUAACGUAGGGAAACUUACGCUAAUCCCGCAUAAGAGUGAAUGAGCAGAUGUCGGAUUAGCUAGUUGGCGGGGUAACGGCCCACCAAGGCGACGAUCCGUAGGUGGUCUGAGAGGAUGAUCAGCCACACUGGAACUGAGACACGGUCCAGACGCCUACGGGAGGCAGCAGUGGGGAAUAUUGCACAAUGGGCGCAAGCCUGAUGCAGCCAUGCCGCGUGUAUGAAGAAGGCCUUCGGGUUGUAAAGUACUUUCAGCGGGGAGGCGUUACCCGCAGAAGAAGCACCGGCUAACUCCGUGCCAGCCGCCGCGGUAAUAC
RNAcentral lists this ribosomal RNA (406 nucleotides) under uncultured bacterium. Its description in RNAcentral is "partial 16S ribosomal RNA". It matches the Rfam family "Bacterial small subunit ribosomal RNA", at positions 29 to 526 of the family's 1533-position model. The record is from RNAcentral.